This 714-nucleotide ribosomal RNA is filed under the name uncultured prokaryote. Its description in RNAcentral is "bacterial SSU rRNA". It matches the Rfam family "Bacterial small subunit ribosomal RNA", at positions 28 to 760 of the family's 1533-position model. The record is from RNAcentral.
GAUGAACGCUGACAGAAUGCUUAACACAUGCAAGUCGAUUCAAUUUACCUUCGGGUAUUGAGGAUGGCGGACGGGUGAGUAACGCGUAAGGAACUUGCCUCUUGGUCUGGGACAACUGUUGGAAACGACAGCUAAUACCGGAUAUUAUGAGAUUCUCGCAUGGGAAACUUAUGAAAGCUAUAUGCGCCAAGAGAGAGCCUUGCGUUCCAUUAGCUAGUUGGUGGGGUAACGGCCCACCAAGGCGACGAUGGAUAGCCGGCCUGAGAGGGUGAACGGCCACAAGGGGACUGAGACACGGCCCUUACUCCUACGGGAGGCAGCAGUGGGGAAUAUUGGACAAUGGGCCACAAGCCUGAUCCAGCAAUUCUGUGUGCACGAUGAAGGUCUUCGGAUUGUAAAGUGCUUUCAGUUGGGAAGAAGAAAGUGACGGUACCAACAGAAGAAGCGACGGCUAAAUACGUGCCAGCAGCCGCGGUAAUACGUAUGUCGCAAGCGUUAUCCGGAUUUAUUGGGCGUAAAGCGCGUCUAGGCGGAAAAAUAAGUCUGAUGUUAAAAUGCGGGGCUCAACUCCGUAUUGCGUUGGAAACUGUUUUUCUAGAGUACUGGAGAGGUGGGCGGAACUACAAGUGUAGAGGUGAAAUUCGUAGAUAUUUGUAGGAAUGCCGAUGGAGAAGUCAGCUCACUGGACAGAUACUGACGCUAAANCGCGAAAGC